This 480-nucleotide ribosomal RNA is filed under the name uncultured Sphingobacteriales bacterium. RNAcentral describes it as "bacterial SSU rRNA". It matches the Rfam family "Bacterial small subunit ribosomal RNA", at positions 903 to 1382 of the family's 1533-position model. The record is from RNAcentral. Lineage: Bacteria; Pseudomonadati; Bacteroidota; Sphingobacteriia; Sphingobacteriales.
UACAAAGGAAUUGACGGGGCCGCACAAGCGGAGGAACAUGUGGUUUAAUUCGAUGAUACGCGAGGAACCUUACCUGGGCUUAAAUGUAGAGUGCAUUUUUUAGAGAUAGAAAUUCCCUUCGGGGCUUUCUGCAAGGUGCUGCAUGGUUGUCGUCAGCUCGUGCCGUGAGGUGUCGGGUUAAGUCCCAUAACGAGCGCAACCCUUAUCGUUAGUUGCCAUCUGGUAAUGCAGGGGACUCUAGCGAAACUGCCACCGUAAGGUGAGAGGAAGGUGGGGAUGAUGUCAAAUCAGCACGGCCCUUAUGUCCAGGGCUACACACGUGUUACAAUGGUCGGUACAGACGGACGCAAAGCCGCGAGGUGGAGCAAAUCCUAAAAAGCCGGUCUCAGUUCGGAUUGCAGGCUGCAAUUCGCCUGCAUGAAGUCGGAAUCGCUAGUAAUCGCAGGUCAGCAUACUGCGGUGAAUACGUUCCCGGGCCUU